Molecule: unclassified non-coding RNA, 202 nt
Filed under: Hevea brasiliensis (rubber tree)
Lineage: Eukaryota; Viridiplantae; Streptophyta; Magnoliopsida; Malpighiales; Euphorbiaceae
Source: RNAcentral
GUAUAUAAAGAGAAUUUAAGCCGCCUAAAAUGCCAUGAGAUAUUUGCAGACCAAUAUCUUGAUUUUGAGUAUUCUUAUUCUUUUUUUGUCUUUCCAAAUUAUAUGUGCUAUCUGAUUUUCUUACUGCUAUUGGUACAAUCAUCUUGUUUGUAACUGUUCAUUGCCAAGGAAUGGUAUUAACAAAUGAUGCUUGUGAUUUUGU